UGUUCAAAACUUACGUAGCGAGAUCGCGGAGGUGCUAAAGCGCAUCAUAAUCGAGUCAAGAGCGUAUUACAAACGACACAUUCGUAGCUGUAACGAAGCUCUAACGCACAAAGCGUGGGAGAAGCGCAUUAAAAGCGGCACCGAUCGCCCGUGAUUUUCAGGCCCGUUCCCAAGACAAUUCUGCUACGCUGCUUCCGUUUACGAGGCGACUGCCUUGCGCUCGACACGCUUCACACCGUUUCCACCACGACGCUUUCCCUUUGGGUGGCAUGUGGCACACGUUCUCAGCCCGCUGCAGGCAUUCGCGUUGCGCUUUUGCUGCGCCGCUGAUGACUGGCCAGCGAGUGAGCAGCGACCGUCUGCGCUGCUAUGAAACAACGUGCCGAUGGUAGCGGAUUAUCACAUUUUCAACAGAUUACGAGGCGACACCACGACGUUUUCAAAUAUACUUCCCAGAAAAAGGACCAAAAAGGAAGCUGCCCUAUCUGUUAUGCCGGCGGUCCAAGAGGAAGCGAACAAGAGGUUAUGGUGGUGGUAGAGGAGGAGGAGGAAAAGGAGGAGGUAUAGUAGGAAGAUAAAAAUCUAACUGCUGAGCCAGCU
Long non-coding RNA from Lytechinus variegatus (green sea urchin), 600 nucleotides. RefSeq lists it as uncharacterized. The transcript is spliced from 2 exons. The record is from RefSeq and is a predicted model, not a curated record. Lineage: Eukaryota; Metazoa; Echinodermata; Echinoidea; Temnopleuroida; Toxopneustidae.